Long non-coding RNA from Mustela putorius furo (domestic ferret), 452 nucleotides. Lineage: Eukaryota; Metazoa; Chordata; Mammalia; Carnivora; Mustelidae. The record is from Ensembl.
UUCCCUCUAAGGGUCGUGUGAGAUUGUAUGAGUGGAAUCACUUAACAUUUUCUUGUUUCAGGAUAUCCAGCUGAGGAAAAGCAGCCCAACAUGCAUCCCUGUGGUUUUCUUCCCUCUGUGUUCAGCUCUCCAGGUUAUGCUGGUGUAUUUGGCCUUGGCGUGUGCAAGUGGCAUUUGGAGUCCCGGGCUCUGAACACACAAAGAGUGAGUUCGACGAUCUCCCAGAGCUCUUUCUCCUACAAAGGGAGGUAUACAAGAAGGGAAGAACAUAUUCAGAACGGAGAAAAUAACUUGUUCAAAAUCACCCUAUGAAUAUGUACUAGGGCAAGCUUGGAACCCCGAGAUGGGCCUUGCCUCCAUUUUCAUGUCCUUGUCUCUUGACACAUCAGGGAAGCAAGAAAUGGACACGUAAAUUAUUCAUUCUACAAAUGGUGAGCAAAUAUUUAUUGAGC